CCUAGUUGACAGUAUCCCAACUUAUUAAGAGUUCUAUUUCACACUUUGUUUCUACAUUAAAAAAUUUCAUCAUGAAGCUAGGAAUCAUUCUUCUAAUGGUUGGGGCUUUGUUUAUUCUCUUCAACGUCACAUACGGAUUCGAAUUUUGUCCAAAGUCUUUUAACUACGCUGGGAAAUGUAGCAAUUCUCGCAAUUGUGGUUUAGACGUAAAUGCGGAAUUAGGAGCAAGUGCAAUGGUUCAAAAUUGUAUUUGUCAAGAUCUCGUUCCCACUCAGCAUCGUUGCACAUGUUGUGUUAGAUGUUCUGUAACAGAUAAGAAGACUGUUUUUCGUGGAACCCGUUUUAUCAAUGAACAACUUCAAUGUAAAAAAAUCUAAAAUUUUAUGGAAUUGAAUAAUGUCACCGCAUAAUAUUAUUAUAAUA
Cicer arietinum (chickpea) is the source of this 423-nucleotide non-coding RNA. The record is from RefSeq and is a predicted model, not a curated record. NCBI's taxonomy places the organism in Eukaryota, Viridiplantae, Streptophyta, Magnoliopsida, Fabales, Fabaceae.